UACGUAGGGGGCAAGCGUUGUCCGGAAUCAUUGGGCGUAAAGAGCGCGCAGGCGGUCGUUCAAGUCGAGUGUGAAAGCCCCCGGCUCAACUGGGGAGGGUCAUUCGAUACUGAUCGACUCGAAGGCAGGAGAGGGAAGUGGAAUUCCCGGUGUAGUGGUGAAAUGCGUAGAUAUCGGGAGGAACACCAGUGGCGAAGGCGACUUCCUGGCCUGUUCUUGACGCUGAGGCGCGAAAGCUAGGGGAGCAAACGGG
RNAcentral lists this ribosomal RNA (253 nucleotides) under uncultured bacterium. RNAcentral describes it as "partial 16S ribosomal RNA". It matches the Rfam family "Bacterial small subunit ribosomal RNA", at positions 524 to 776 of the family's 1533-position model. The record is from RNAcentral.